This 403-nucleotide ribosomal RNA is filed under the name uncultured bacterium. RNAcentral describes it as "partial 16S ribosomal RNA". It matches the Rfam family "Bacterial small subunit ribosomal RNA", at positions 29 to 526 of the family's 1533-position model. The record is from RNAcentral.
AUUGAACGCUGGCGGCAGGCCUAACACAUGCAAGUCGAGCGAGGGGCGGGCGGGUGAGUAAUGUAUGGGGACUGCCUGAUAGAGGGGGAUAACUACUGGAACCGGUGGCUAAUACCGCAUACUAUCGGAUAACCCAUUUUGGAUUAGCUAGUAGGUGGGGUAAAGGCUCACCUAGGCGACGAUGUCUAGCUGGUCGGAGAGGAUGAUCGGCGACACGGGGACUGAGACAGGGCCCAGGCUCCUACGGAGGGAGCAGUGGGGAAUAGGGGACAAUGGGCGCAAGCCUGACGCAGCCAUGCCGCGUGUAUGAAGAAGGCCUUAGGGUGGGAAAGUACGUUCAGGGGUGAGGCGUUACCCGUAGAAGAAGCACCGGCUAACUCCGUGCCAGCAGCCGCGGUAAUUC